AAUCCAUAGGUUAAUGAGGCGAACCGGGGGAACUGAAACAUCUAAGUACCCCGAGGAAAAGAAAUCAACCGAGAUUCCCCCAGUAGCGGCGAGCGAACGGGGAGGAGCCCAGAGCCUGAAUCAGCAUGUGUGUUAGUGGAAGCGUCUGGAAAGGCGCGCGAUACAGGGUGACAGCCCCGUACACAAAAGCGCAUGUGCUGUGAGCUCGAUGAGUAGGGCGGGACACGUGGUAUCCUGUCUGAAUAUGGGGGGACCAUCCUCCAAGGCUAAAUACUCCUGACUGACCGAUAGUGAACCAGUACCGUGAGGGAAAGGCGAAAAGAACCCCGGCGAGGGGAGUGAAAAAGAACCUGAAACCGUGUACGUACAAGCAGUGGGAGCACCCUUCGGGGUGUGACUGCGUACCUUUUGUAUAAUGGGUCAGCGACUUAUAUUCUGUAGCAAGGUUAACCGAAUAGGGGAGCCGUAGGGAAACCGAGUCUUAACCGGGCGUUAAGUUGCAGGGUAUAGACCCGAAACCCGGUGAUCUAGCCAUGGGCAGGUUGAAGGUUGGGUAACACUAACUGGAGGACCGAACCGACUAAUGUUGAAAAAUUAGCGGAUGACCUGUGGCUGGGGGUGAAAGGCCAAUCAAACCGGGAGAUAGCUGGUUCUCCCCGAAAGCUAUUUAGGUAGCGCCUCGUGAAUUCAUCUCCGGGGGUAGAGCACUGUUUCGGCUAGGGGGCCAUCCCGGCUUACCAACCCGAUGCAAACUGCGAAUACCGGAGAAUGUUAUCACGGGAGACACACGGCGGGUGCUAACGUCCGUCGUGAAGAGGGAAACAACCCAGACCGCCAGCUAAGGUCCCAAAGUCAUGGUUAAGUGGGAAACGAUGUGGGAAGGCCCAGACAGCCAGGAUGUUGGCUUAGAAGCAGCCAUCAUUUAAAGAAAGCGUAAUAGCUCACUGGUCGAGUCGGCCUGCGCGGAAGAUGUAACGGGGCUAAACCAU
RNAcentral lists this ribosomal RNA (989 nucleotides) under Salmonella enterica subsp. enterica serovar Sinstorf. RNAcentral's name for it is "partial 23S ribosomal RNA". It matches the Rfam family "Bacterial large subunit ribosomal RNA", at positions 161 to 1190 of the family's 2925-position model. The record is from RNAcentral. Lineage: Bacteria; Pseudomonadati; Pseudomonadota; Gammaproteobacteria; Enterobacterales; Enterobacteriaceae.